GUCAGGUGUGACAGUGUAUGCCUAUAAUCCCAGCUACUUGGGGGCUGAGGCAGGAGGAUUGCUUGAGUCUAGGAGUUCUAGGCCAUCCAGGGCACCACUGUGGGCACCUGUCUUGA
RNAcentral lists this small RNA (116 nucleotides) under Marmota monax (woodchuck). Lineage: Eukaryota; Metazoa; Chordata; Mammalia; Rodentia; Sciuridae. The record is from RNAcentral.